Molecule: ribosomal RNA, 465 nt
Filed under: uncultured bacterium
Lineage: Bacteria
Description: partial 16S ribosomal RNA
Rfam family: Bacterial small subunit ribosomal RNA
Source: RNAcentral
GACGAACGCUGGCGGCGUGCUUAACACAUGCAAGUCGUACGGUAAGGCCCUUUCGGGGGUACACGAGUGGCGAACGGGUGAGUAACACGUGAGUAACCUGCCCACAACUUUGGGAUAACGCUAGGAAACUGGUGCUAAUACUGGAUAUGUGCUCCUGCUGCAUGGUGGGGGUUGGAAAGCUCCGGCGGUUGUGGAUGGACUCGCGGCCUAUCAGCUUGUUGGUGGGGUAGUGGCCUACCAAGGCGGCGACGGGUAGCCGGCCUGAGAGGGUGACCGGCCACAUUGGGACUGAGAUACGGCCCAGACUCCUACGGGAGGCAGAGGUGGGGAAUAUUGCACAAUGGGCGCAAGCCUGAUGCAGCAACGCCGCGUGCGGGAUGACGGCCUUCGGGUUGUAAACCGCUUUCAGCAGGGACGAAGCUUUUUGUGACGGUACCUGCAGAAGAAGCACCGGCUAACUACGUG